ACCCUUUGAACUCUCUCUCAUUGUUUGCUCCCAUCCCAUGCAUUAAUUUUGCCCUUCUCUGCAGUUCUUCUUCUUCUUCUUCUUCUUCAAAUUUGUGUUUUUUUUUCUUGAAGAAAAAAUUCUCUUGAUUGUUUUCAAGUAUCAAUCGGAGAAUUCGGCUUUGGAUUAAGUUGCAGAAAAUGGUUGGAUGUAAAAUCCGGUUGAGGAAGAGAAAACAGGCGGAGUGGGUGAGUGGUUUGCUUCGGAGCAAAUUCUUCGGUUCGUGCGUCGAUCAUGGGGAGUUGAGGAAGAAUGAGAGGAAUCUGUUCUGUAUAGACUGCAAUCUCUGCUUCUGUAAGCAUUGCGUAACUUCUCCGGCUCAUGACUGCCUCCAUCGCCUCCUUCAAAUCUGCAAAUACGUCUACCACGACGUCGUUCGACUCCACGAUAUUCAGAAGCACCUCGACUGCUCUCUCAUUCAAGCAUACAAGAUCAAUGGUGAGAAGGCUGUCCAUUUGAAUCCCAGGCCUCAACUAAAAGAUACAAAAAGUUCAAAAGCAAAGGGGGGAGGCACUUGCUGUGAAGCUUGUGGGAGGCACAUACAAGACUUGCCCAAUCGCUUUUGUUCCAUUGCCUGCAAAGUUUCAAUAGACACAGAGAUCACAACAAACCAAAGCAACAGGAUAAUCUCCACGCCGAUGUCUAAAGUUGGCCAUCUACCAAAUUUAGAGCCAGAGGACAAUUCCUAUGAAAUCAAAUACACUUCCAGCUCACUCUCCUUAACCGAGUCAUCGUCAGAAGUAAUCCAGGCAUGGUCGAGUCCAGUUUUGAGGCCAAAGAAGAUGUUGAACAAGAGAAAAAGCGUGCCAAGAAGGGCUCCCAUGUGCUAGAAAACAGAACCCUCAAGUACACCAUUUCAUUUAUUUGUUCCCAUUACAUUUGUGGCAUGAAAGAGUUUGAUAUAUAGUUUUAUAAUGAGAAUAAGGGCCAUAGGUUGUGAGUAAAAUAUGCUGCUAAUGAGUCCCCAUCCUAGUGUUCUGCUUGGUUUGUACAGCAUAAAGAUGGUGGUCUUGCUAGUGGCAUUCAUCGUAUUUGGUUAAGGUGUCAGAAAAUGAAGAUCUUUGUCGGGUCGGUGAUAGUGAUGGUGAUGGUGAUGGCGUCUCAAAUUGUCCAAUUCUGGUGGUGUAGUUGGGCCCCAUUAUUAUGUAUGUAUUGUAUGUAAACCCAUCCCAUGUUUGAUGGGGUAUAGUAGUGUGUGUGUGUGUGUGUGUGUUUGAAUGGCA
RNA transcript from Sesamum indicum (sesame), 1262 nucleotides. It is a transcript of the gene named PLATZ transcription factor family protein, with no coding region annotated. The record is from RefSeq and is a predicted model, not a curated record. Lineage: Eukaryota; Viridiplantae; Streptophyta; Magnoliopsida; Lamiales; Pedaliaceae.